Molecule: ribosomal RNA, 495 nt
Filed under: uncultured bacterium
Lineage: Bacteria
Description: partial 16S ribosomal RNA
Rfam family: Bacterial small subunit ribosomal RNA
Source: RNAcentral
AUGAACGCUGGCGGCGUGCCUAAUCCAUGCAAGUCGCGCGAACAGACGAGGAGCUUGCUCCUCUGAUGUUAGCGGCGGACGGGUGAGUAACACGUGAUAACCUACCUAUAAGACUGGGAUAACUUCGGGAAACCGGAGCUAAUACCGGAUAACAUGGUGAAACGCAUGGUUCAACAGUGAAAGACGGUCUUGCUGUCACUUAUAGAUGGAUCCGCGCCGCAUUAGCUAGUUGGUAAGGUAACGGCUUACCAAGGCAACGAUGCGUAGCCGACCUGAGAGGGUGAUCGGCCACACUGGAACUGAGACACGGUCCAGACUCCUACGGGAGGCAGCAGUAGGGAAUCUUCCGCAAUGGGCGAAAGCCUGACGGAGCAACGCCGCGUGAGUGAAGAAGGUCUUCGGAUCGUAAAACUCUGUUAUUAGGGAAGAACAAAUGUGUAAGUAACUAUGCACGUCUUGACGGUACCUAAUCAGAAAGCCACGGCUAACUACGUG